This 468-nucleotide ribosomal RNA is filed under the name uncultured bacterium. RNAcentral's name for it is "partial 16S ribosomal RNA". It matches the Rfam family "Bacterial small subunit ribosomal RNA", at positions 28 to 507 of the family's 1533-position model. The record is from RNAcentral.
GACGAACGCUGGCGGCGUGCUUAACACAUGCAAGUCGAACGGAAAGGCCCUGCUUUUGUGGGGUGCUCGAGUGGCGAACGGGUGAGUAACACGUGAGUAACCUGCCCUUGACUUUGGGAUAACUUCAGGAAACUGGGGCUAAUACCGGAUAGGAGCUCCUGCUGCAUGGUGGGGGUUGGAAAGUUUCGGCGGUUGGGGAUGGACUCGCGGCUUAUCAGCUUGUUGGUGGGGUAGUGGCUUACCAAGGCUUUGACGGGUAGCCGGCCUGAGAGGGUGACCGGCCACAUUGGGACUGAGAUACGGCCCAGACUCCUACGGGAGGCAGCAGUGGGGAAUAAUGCACAAUGGGAGGAAGCCUGAUGCAGCAACGCCGCGUGCGGGAUGACGGCCUUCGGGUUGUAAACCGCUUUCGCCUGUGACGAAGCGUGAGUGACGGUAAUGGGUAAAGAAGCACCGGCUAACUACGUG